RNAcentral lists this ribosomal RNA (468 nucleotides) under uncultured bacterium. RNAcentral's name for it is "partial 16S ribosomal RNA". It matches the Rfam family "Bacterial small subunit ribosomal RNA", at positions 28 to 507 of the family's 1533-position model. The record is from RNAcentral.
GACGAACGCUGGCGGCGUGCUUAACACAUGCAAGUCGAACGGAAAGGCCCUGCUUUUGUGGGGUGCUCGAGUGGCGAACGGGUGAGUAACACGUGAGUAACCUGCCCUUGACUUUGGGAUAACUUCAGGAAACUGGGGCUAAUACCGGAUAGGAGCUCCUGCUGCAUGGUGGGGGUUGGAAAGUUUCGGCGGUUGGGGAUGGACUCGCGGCUUAUCAGCUUGUUGGUGGGGUAGUGGCUUACCAAGGGUUUGACGGGUAGCCGGCCUGAGUGGGUGACCGGCCACAUUGGGACUGAGAUACGGCCCAGACUCCUACGGGAGGCAGCAGUGGGGAAUAUUGCACAAUGGGCGGAAGCCUGAUGCAGCAACGCCGCGUGCGGGAUGACGGCCUUCGGGUUGUAAACCGCUUUCGCCUGUGACGAAGCGUGAGUGACGGUAAUGGGUAAAGAAGCACCGGCUAACUACGUG